AGCUAGCUUCCCUGCUGCAUCACCCAGCAGUUCAGAAUGGCAGCAGCGGCCACGCUCUCAACAUCAGCCCAACAUCAGUGACUUUUCCUCCAUGCCUGAUUUCACUGCGGUCAGAUCCACUGUCUCCUCCAACCAGACUGAGAGACUGGAGCAAAGAAGAAGACGUGCAUGAGCGACAAAAGAGGAGGAGGAGGAGGUCAAGUAGUGAUGUGUCCACAGUGAUGUGCUGCUUCAAAAGGGGAGGAGUCAGAAUACAGGUUCCAGCACCACUGCCUCACAGAAAGCCUACUCUGCACAUUCUGCAGACACUGGUCUACAGGGAGGAAAUAGGGAGGAAAUUGUGCAGAAAGUAUAAAAGUCAGGUUCUCUUAUUCUCUCUCUCUCUUUCUCUCUCUCCCUCUCUCUUUCUCUAGCUCUCUCCCAGUGCCACUUUCUACAAGCUGGAAGAUUAAACGCUUUGGCUGCGUUUUUAAUUGUUCUGGUCUCUUAGCGAGAAAUCACUUCACUUUUUUAUUAUUAACGAUUCUGUGCAAAUUUAAUUAAAGUCCCAUCUCAGAAAUAUGGCUGUCGGUUCUGCAGGAAGACUUAUGUAGAAGGUAAAACGCAGUGAAAUACAAGCCGGAGGGCAAACCGCACGUUUUAUCUGGAUUUGACGUGUGUCGCAGGGCCAGCGUGGAGAACACGCUCUGUGGUUUUAUAACACUUGGCUCUUUCUGAAGGACACUGGAAGGUGAAGGAAGAGAAGUGAAUGGAUUUAUUACAUCCUGGUUCAUAACCCCUUUUAGCCCCCUUAAGACUGAGGUGGAAGAGGCUUUGCGAUCUUGUUUUGUCGUGCUUUUAUCUCAGUAGUUGCCAUGAGCUUUUUGCUUACCAGAAUUGCUUACAGAAUUGCUUACAGUACAGUGCCAUUAAAAAAAAAAAGAGUUUGCCCUCCCGUCCGAAUUCUUGAAAUUGUAGAUAUUUUACUGGAUGCCAAAAACUUUUUUUAACUUGUCUAUCGUUGCAUGAUUAAGUGCAUGAUUAAGUGAUAUCAUACUCUUAAUCCAUAGAAUUUAAUAUGAUAUUGGCCCUUGCUUUGUAGCUAUAACAGCUUCAAUUCUACUUUAAUGAGCCACUAAACCCUAAACCAUAAUUUUUUUCCAUUACCAGUUAAAAUGUGUUCCUUAUAAUAUAAUGAAAAUAAUGAAAAAACAUUUCCAAACCCCUAAAAACACUUUUAUUGUGGUAAUUUCCACCUCUGCAGCGCCCUCUCAGGUUCAACUGUGCUAUAGACGUGGAUAAUAUGUCUGUAUACUUUGGUCGGAGAAGACAACAAGCUCUUCGUAGACAGUGAUCACAGCAGGGAUUACAAGGAUAAUUUGUCCCUAGAGUGAAAAGACUUCUGUGGUACACUUCAGUGCACUGGCACACUGG
This 1413-nucleotide long non-coding RNA is filed under the name Astyanax mexicanus (Mexican tetra). RNAcentral's name for it is "lncRNA (ENSAMXG00005002239.1)". Lineage: Eukaryota; Metazoa; Chordata; Actinopteri; Characiformes; Acestrorhamphidae. The record is from RNAcentral.